RNAcentral lists this ribosomal RNA (495 nucleotides) under uncultured bacterium. RNAcentral's name for it is "bacterial SSU rRNA". It matches the Rfam family "Bacterial small subunit ribosomal RNA", at positions 30 to 515 of the family's 1533-position model. The record is from RNAcentral.
AUUGAACGCUGGCGGCAUGCCUUACACAUGCAAGUCGAACGGUAACAGGUCUUCGGAUGCUGACGAGUGGCGAACGGGUGAGUAAUAUAUCGGAACGUGCCCAGUCGUGGGGGAUAACGCAGCGAAAGCUGUGCUAAUACCGCAUACGAUCUAUGGAUGAAAGCGGGGGAUCGCAAGACCUCGCGCGAUUGGAGCGGCCGAUAUCAGAUUAGGUAGUUGGUGGGGUAAAGGCCCACCAAGCCAACGAUCUGUAGCUGGUCUGAGAGGACGACCAGCCACACUGGAACUGAGACACGGUCCAGACUCCUACGGGAGGCAGCAGUGGGGAAUUUUGGACAAUGGGCGCAAGCCUGAUCCAGCAAUGCCGCGUGCAGGAUGAAGGCCUUCGGGUUGUAAACUGCUUUUGUACGGUAACGAAAAGGACUACUGGUUAAUACCUGGGGCGUCAUGACGGUACCGUAAGAAUAAGCACCGGACUAACUACGUGCCAGCACG